UUUAAUAAAGAGUUUGAUCCUGGCUCAGGAUGAACGCUGGCGGCGUGCCUAAUACAUGCAAGUCGAGCGAGAAUUGUGUUCUAUGAAACUUCGGUAGACUAAACACAAGGAAAGCGGCGGACGGGUGAGUAACGCGUAGGCAACCUGCCCUUAGCAGAGGGAUAGCCAUGGGAAACGAUGAUUAAGACCUCAUAAAGCGUAGUUGACACAUGUUGACAAUGCCAAAGAUUUAUCGGCUAAGGAUGGGCCUGCGUCUGAUUAACUGGUUGGUAGGGUAACGGCCUACCAAGGUAACGAUCAGUAGCCGACCUGAGAGGGUGAUCGGCCACAUUGGAACUGAGACACGGUCCAAACUUCUACGGAAGGCAGCAGUAAGGAAUCUUGCACAAUGGGGGGAACCCUGAUGCAGCAACGCCGCGUGAACGAAGAAGGCCUUCGGGUUGUAAAGUUCUGAUCUUGGGGAAGAAAAAGAUGACGGUACCCAAGGAGAAAGCCCCGGCUAACUACGUGCCAGCAGCCGCGGUAAUACGUAGGGGGCAAGCGUUAUCCGGAAUCAUUGGGCGUAAAGGGUGCGUAGGUGGUCAAUAAAGUCAGAGGUGAAAGGCUAGGGCUCAACCGUAGUAAGCCUUUGAA
This 633-nucleotide ribosomal RNA is filed under the name Mogibacterium sp. Its description in RNAcentral is "bacterial SSU rRNA". It matches the Rfam family "Bacterial small subunit ribosomal RNA", at positions 1 to 631 of the family's 1533-position model. Lineage: Bacteria; Bacillati; Bacillota; Clostridia; Peptostreptococcales; Anaerovoracaceae. The record is from RNAcentral.